Molecule: long non-coding RNA, 1048 nt
Filed under: Salvia miltiorrhiza (redroot sage)
Lineage: Eukaryota; Viridiplantae; Streptophyta; Magnoliopsida; Lamiales; Lamiaceae
Description: long non-coding RNA (SMIL_LNC009407)
Source: RNAcentral
ACGCACACACACAAAGACGCGCGCCUCUCUCUCUCUCUCUCUCUCGNCACACACACAACAACGACGCGCGUCCUCUCUCUCUCUCUCUCUCUCUCUCUCUCUCUCUCGUUCGGCAUCGCGCCGCCGCCCGCUCCGCCUGCAGUCGCCCAGUGAAGCCGCCGCCGUCUGGAGCUGCUGCUGCUUCGCCUGAGAUCGACGGAUCUGACCUCCAGCAGUCCGCCUCGCUCGGAGCCGUCGCCUCUGUCACCAGCUGGAGCUCUCCUUCGCCUGGAGUCGAGGUCGUCGCUCCUGAAACGCCACCUGCCGCCGCUGCUGCUGCCUGAGGUCGAGGGCCAGCAGCUCGCUGCAGGAGCACCGCCGUCGGCCGCUGCUGUUGGCAGCAAGAACCCGGCAGCCGCCGUUUCUGUGGACAGCAGGCCUCGGUAGUCCCUACUUCCUCCCUCUCGUUUUAUCACUCAAUAGGUUCGUGGAUUUGAAAUAGUUUUCAGAAAACUCAACUUUGUGUUAAAGACUCAAUUUUGGAAUCAAAACUUUUGUUUUCAACUAUGAAUAUAGUAGAGCACAUAUCAGAGAUAGUUCUUAGUCUUUUGUGUAUGUCACUAAUAUCAUGUAAUUCAUGCUCUUUAUGAAAUAUGAAGUCAUGAGUAUAGAGUGUGUGAAACCUUGAAGAUUGGUCUGUGAUUCUUGUUGUUGUUACUGAAUUUGAUUGUUUUGUGUUGGCUGGAAUGAUUAGAGACAAAAGUUAUUGGAUGAAAAGGGUACUUUGUAAGCAAUGCAGAAGAACUGAAAUUAUUCUUACCUCUCUCUGCACUAGUGUGGUUCUCGCUAGAGUCGAAUGCUAAGUGUUAACUGAUAUGCAACGGAAAUUAUGAAGGUUGAAAUUCUUGUAUGGGUUGGAGAGGGUUUACUGUGGAUGUUUUGCAGCCUUUGAAAAAUAUGGAAUGAUCCCUUUAGAAAAAGUAUGCUGGUUAUGAAAAGUAAGAUUUGCUACAGGGAGAAAUCUGCAACCUUUAGAAAAAAAUUUGGAGUAAUGAUGUGUUGGAGGGGA